Triticum aestivum (bread wheat) is the source of this 84-nucleotide non-coding RNA. The record is from Rfam. Lineage: Eukaryota; Viridiplantae; Streptophyta; Magnoliopsida; Poales; Poaceae.
UAGAGCUUGGACGAGGAUGUGCAACUGCGGUACGGUAGGACCUUCAGCUACGACCGGCAGCUGCACAUCCAUGUCCAAGCUCUA